UAAACGGCACUUUUUAGUGCCACCAAAUAAUAUUACGUAGAACACU
Non-coding RNA from Dufourea novaeangliae, 46 nucleotides. NCBI's taxonomy places the organism in Eukaryota, Metazoa, Arthropoda, Insecta, Hymenoptera, Halictidae. The record is from Rfam.